This 85-nucleotide ribosomal RNA is filed under the name Lactococcus lactis. Lineage: Bacteria; Bacillati; Bacillota; Bacilli; Lactobacillales; Streptococcaceae. The record is from RNAcentral.
UUCCCAUGUCGAACACAGAAGUUAAGUCCAUCUACGGCGGAAGUACUUGGGGGUUGCCCCCUGGGAGAUAGGCGAGUGGCCAAGU